This 1405-nucleotide ribosomal RNA is filed under the name Lacticaseibacillus rhamnosus. RNAcentral's name for it is "bacterial SSU rRNA". It matches the Rfam family "Bacterial small subunit ribosomal RNA". The record is from RNAcentral. Lineage: Bacteria; Bacillati; Bacillota; Bacilli; Lactobacillales; Lactobacillaceae. RNAcentral also lists the same sequence under 1 other name.
UUCUGAUUAUUGAAAGGUGCUUGCAUCUUGAUUUAAUUUUGAACGAGUGGCGGACGGGUGAGUAACACGUGGGUAACCUGCCCUUAAGUGGGGGAUAACAUUUGGAAACAGAUGCUAAUACCGCAUAAAUCCAAGAACCGCAUGGUUCUUGGCUGAAAGAUGGCGUAAGCUAUCGCUUUUGGAUGGACCCGCGGCGUAUUAGCUAGUUGGUGAGGUAACGGCUCACCAAGGCAAUGAUACGUAGCCGAACUGAGAGGUUGAUCGGCCACAUUGGGACUGAGACACGGCCCAAACUCCUACGGGAGGCAGCAGUAGGGAAUCUUCCACAAUGGACGCAAGUCUGAUGGAGCAACGCCGCGUGAGUGAAGAAGGCUUUCGGGUCGUAAAACUCUGUUGUUGGAGAAGAAUGGUCGGCAGAGUAACUGUUGUCGGCGUGACGGUAUCCAACCAGAAAGCCACGGCUAACUACGUGCCAGCAGCCGCGGUAAUACGUAGGUGGCAAGCGUUAUCCGGAUUUAUUGGGCGUAAAGCGAGCGCAGGCGGUUUUUUAAGUCUGAUGUGAAAGCCCUCGGCUUAACCGAGGAAGUGCAUCGGAAACUGGGAAACUUGAGUGCAGAAGAGGACAGUGGAACUCCAUGUGUAGCGGUGAAAUGCGUAGAUAUAUGGAAGAACACCAGUGGCGAAGGCGGCUGUCUGGUCUGUAACUGACGCUGAGGCUCGAAAGCAUGGGUAGCGAACAGGAUUAGAUACCCUGGUAGUCCAUGCCGUAAACGAUGAAUGCUAGGUGUUGGAGGGUUUCCGCCCUUCAGUGCCGCAGCUAACGCAUUAAGCAUUCCGCCUGGGGAGUACGACCGCAAGGUUGAAACUCAAAGGAAUUGACGGGGGCCCGCACAAGCGGUGGAGCAUGUGGUUUAAUUCGAAGCAACGCGAAGAACCUUACCAGGUCUUGACAUCUUUUGAUCACCUGAGAGAUCAGGUUUCCCCUUCGGGGGCAAAAUGACAGGUGGUGCAUGGUUGUCGUCAGCUCGUGUCGUGAGAUGUUGGGUUAAGUCCCGCAACGAGCGCAACCCUUAUGACUAGUUGCCAGCAUUUAGUUGGGCACUCUAGUAAGACUGCCGGUGACAAACCGGAGGAAGGUGGGGAUGACGUCAAAUCAUCAUGCCCCUUAUGACCUGGGCUACACACGUGCUACAAUGGAUGGUACAACGAGUUGCGAGACCGCGAGGUCAAGCUAAUCUCUUAAAGCCAUUCUCAGUUCGGACUGUAGGCUGCAACUCGCCUACACGAAGUCGGAAUCGCUAGUAAUCGCGGAUCAGCACGCCGCGGUGAAUACGUUCCCGGGCCUUGUACACACCGCCCGUCACACCAUGAGAGUUUGUAACACCCGAAGCCGGUGGCGUAACCC